AUCCUACGGGGGGCAGCAGUAGGGAAUUUUCGUCAAUGGGCGCAAGCCUGAACGAGCAAUGCCGCGGGAACGAGAAAGGUCUUCGGAUCGUAAAGUUCUGUUGAAGGGGAAAAAGAGCGGAGAGAGGAAAUGAACUCCGAUUGAUAUUACCCUACGAGGAAGUCACGGCUAACUACGUGCCAGCAGCCGCGGUAAUACGUAGGUGGCGAGCGUUAUCCGGAAUGAUUGGGAGUAAAGGGUGCUUAGGCGGCCUGCUAAUUCUGGAGUGAAAGGUACCGGCUCAACCGGUACAUGCUCUGGAAACC
This 305-nucleotide ribosomal RNA is filed under the name uncultured bacterium. RNAcentral's name for it is "bacterial SSU rRNA". It matches the Rfam family "Bacterial small subunit ribosomal RNA", at positions 335 to 634 of the family's 1533-position model. The record is from RNAcentral.